AUUGAACGCUGGCGGAAUGCUUUACACAUGCAAGUCGAACGGCAGCACGGGGCAACCUGGUGGCGAGUGGCGAACGGGUGAGUAAUACAUCGGAACGUGCCCAAUCGUGGGGGAUAACGUAGCGAAAGUUACGCUAAUACCGCAUACGAUCUACGGAUGAAAGCGGGGGAUCGCAAGACCUCGCGCGAUUGGAGCGGCCGAUGUCAGAUUAGGUAGUUGGUGGGGUAAAGGCUCACCAAGCCGACGAUCUGUAGCUGGUCUGAGAGGACGACCAGCCACACUGGGACUGAGACACGGCCCAGACUCCUACGGGAGGCAGCAGUGGGGAAUUUUGGACAAUGGGCGCAAGCCUGAUCCAGCCAUUCCGCGUGCAGGAUGAAGGCCUUCGGGUUGUAAACUGCUUUUGUACGGAACGAAACGGUUCUCUCUAAUACAGGGGGCUAAUGACGGUACCGUAAGAAUAAGCACCGGCUAACUACGUG
Molecule: ribosomal RNA, 482 nt
Filed under: uncultured bacterium
Lineage: Bacteria
Description: bacterial SSU rRNA
Rfam family: Bacterial small subunit ribosomal RNA
Source: RNAcentral